Molecule: long non-coding RNA, 293 nt
Filed under: Mytilus galloprovincialis (Mediterranean mussel)
Lineage: Eukaryota; Metazoa; Mollusca; Bivalvia; Mytilida; Mytilidae
Source: RNAcentral
GCCCUCAUUUUCUUCCGAAAUUAUUCUUCUAUCACAUGCAUAUUUUGAUUUGUGGAUUAACAGAACCCUUACGCAGUUUCAGUUGCAUUCGUGUCAGAAUAUUCAAAUUUCCCGGCGAAAGCAACGUAUCAUUCGGAAACUUCCGGGUUGAUGCGUUUACUACAACGAUAAAUCCUUAUAAACAGACGAGUGCUGUCCCCUAACUUCAUACCUACGCCACACCAAGAUAUCCUUCAUAUAAAUUAAAUAUCAAACAAAAAAGUCUUUGAACAGUUAGUGCAUGUAUUGUUUCA